This 497-nucleotide ribosomal RNA is filed under the name uncultured bacterium. RNAcentral's name for it is "partial 16S ribosomal RNA". It matches the Rfam family "Bacterial small subunit ribosomal RNA", at positions 28 to 507 of the family's 1533-position model. The record is from RNAcentral.
GAUGAACGCUGGCGGCGUGCCUAAUACAUGCAAGUCGAGCGAACAGACGAGGAGCUUGCUCCUCUGACGUUAGCGGCGGACGGGUGAGAAACACGUGGAUAACCUACCUAUAAGACUGGGAUCACUUCGGGAAACCGGAGCUAAUACCGGAUAAUAUAUUGAACCGCAUGGUUCAAUAGUGAAAGUCGGUUUUGCUGUCACUUAUAGAUGGAUCCGCGCCGCAUUAGCUAGUUGGUAAGGUAACGGCUUACCAAGGCGACGAUGCGUAGGCGACCUGAGAGGGUGAUCGGCCACACGGGAACUGGGACGCGGUCCAGACUCCUACGGGAGGCAGCAGUAGGGAAUCUUCCGCAAGGGGCGACAGCCUGACGUAGCAACGCCGCGUGAGUGAUGAAGGUCUUCGGAUCGUAAAACUCUGUUAUUAGGGAAGAACAAAUGUGUAAGUAACUAUGCACGUCUUGACGGUACCUGAUCAGAAAGCCACGGCUAACUACGUG